This 497-nucleotide ribosomal RNA is filed under the name uncultured bacterium. RNAcentral's name for it is "partial 16S ribosomal RNA". It matches the Rfam family "Bacterial small subunit ribosomal RNA", at positions 28 to 507 of the family's 1533-position model. The record is from RNAcentral.
GAUGAACGCUGGCGGCGUGCCUAAUACAUGCAAGUCGAGCGAAGGGACGAGAAGGUUGCUGCUCUGAGGGGAGGGGCGGAGGGGAGUGCAACACGAGGAGAACGGACGUGUAAGACUGGGAUAACUACGGGAAACCGGAGCUAAAAACGGAUAAUAUGAUGAAGCGCAGGGUGCAAAAGUGACAGACGGUCUUGCGGGCACUGAUAGAUGGAUCUACGCUGCAUUAGCUAGUUGGUAAGGUAACGGCCUACCAAGGCAACGAUGCAUAGCCGACCUGAGAGGGUGAUCGGCCACACUGGAACUGAGACACGGUCCAGACUCCUACGGGAGGCAGCAGUCGGGAAUCUUGCGCAAUGGGCGAAAGCCUGACGCAGCCACGCCGCGUGUGUGAUGAAGGUCUUCGGAUCGUAAAGCUCUGUUAUUAGUGAAGAACAUCUGUGUAAUUAACUGUGCCCAUCUUGACGGUACCUACUCAGAAAGCCCCGGCUAACUACGUG